RNAcentral lists this microRNA precursor (688 nucleotides) under Amborella trichopoda. RNAcentral describes it as "miR8554 stem-loop (atr-MIR8554)". Lineage: Eukaryota; Viridiplantae; Streptophyta; Magnoliopsida; Amborellales; Amborellaceae. The record is from miRBase by way of RNAcentral.
GAAAUUUAUGCUCAUGUCCCCCUAAAUUUAUGUUAUUAAAAAUAUACCCCUGAAAAUAUUGUAUUUUAUGUUCAUUCGCCUUUUUUAUUUUUAUUUAUUUAUUUUUCAAAAUUGUCUCACUUCGGACCUUCAAGGUUUGAAGUCACAAUUUAUGCGAUGACUUUGGAUCUUGAGGAUCAAAAGUAAUUCUUUCAACUGAUGGCUUUUAACUUUGAAGAUUCGAAGUUAUCUUUUGGCUUCUGACCUUCAAGGUCUGAAGUCAAGAUUCAUGUCUCAAAAUAUAGGUCUUGGCUUUAGACCUUCAAGGUCCGAAGCCAAAGACUUUAAAAAAAUUUAUUGGCUUUAGUAGUUAUUCUAGGAUAGACUUCAAUUUUUUUGAAGUCUUUGGCUUCGUACUCUGAAGGUCCAAUGCCAAGAUUGAUACGAGUCUUGAUUUCAGAUCUUCAAGGUCUGAAGCCAAGAGAUGAAUUUGGAUCUCGAAGGUCUGCAGUCAUAAUUAAAAACAAUUAUUUCAAAUCUUCAAGUUCUGGAGUCAUAACAACAAUUAUGAUUUUGGAUUUUGAAGGUCUGAAGUGGGGCAUUUUGGGAGAAAAUAGAAGUUGAUAAAAUGGGUCUUGACGUAAUAUACGGCAUUUUGGAGGAAUCGUUUAAAUAACAGAAUUAUUAGGGGGACAUGAGCAUAAAUUUC